GCCCAUGUAGCUCAGCGGUAGAGCAGCGCAUUCGUAAUGCGCAAGUCGCCGGUUCGAAUCCGGCCAUGGGCU
This 72-nucleotide transfer RNA is filed under the name Candidatus Omnitrophota bacterium. RNAcentral describes it as "Candidatus Omnitrophica bacterium tRNA-Thr". It matches the Rfam family "tRNA". Rfam says of the family: Transfer RNA (tRNA) molecules are approximately 80 nucleotides in length. Their secondary structure includes four short double-helical elements and three loops (D, anti-codon, and T loops). The record is from RNAcentral. Lineage: Bacteria; Pseudomonadati; Candidatus Omnitrophota.